GAUCAUGGCUCAGAUUGAACGCUGGCGGCAUGCCUUACACAUGCAAGUCGAACGGCAGCACGGGAGCAAUCCUGGUGGCGAGUGGCGAACGGGUGAGUAAUGUAUCGGAACGUACCUUUCAGUGGGGGAUAACGUAGCGAAAGUUACGCUAAUACCGCAUAUUCUGUGAGCAGGAAAGCGGGGGAUCGCAAGACCUCGCGCGAUUGGAGUGGCCGAUGUCAGAUUAGGUAGUUGGUGGGGUAAAGGCUCACCAAGCCGACGAUCUGUAGCUGGUCUGAGAGGACGACCAGCCACACUGGAACUGAGACACGGUCCAGACUCCUACGGGAGGCAGCAGUGGGGAAUUUUGGACAAUGGGCGCAAGCCUGAUCCAGCAAUGCCGCGUGCAGGAAGAAGGCCUUCGGGUUGUAAACUGCUUUUGUACGGAGCGAAACGGUCCUGGUUAAUACCCGGGGCUAAUGACGGUACCGUAAGAAUAAGCACCGGCUAACUACGUG
This 497-nucleotide ribosomal RNA is filed under the name uncultured bacterium. Its description in RNAcentral is "bacterial SSU rRNA". It matches the Rfam family "Bacterial small subunit ribosomal RNA", at positions 15 to 507 of the family's 1533-position model. The record is from RNAcentral.